RNAcentral lists this ribosomal RNA (254 nucleotides) under uncultured prokaryote. RNAcentral's name for it is "partial 16S ribosomal RNA". It matches the Rfam family "Bacterial small subunit ribosomal RNA", at positions 524 to 776 of the family's 1533-position model. The record is from RNAcentral.
UACGGAGGAUCCAAGCGUUAUCCGGAGUGAUUGGGCGUAAAGAGUUGCGUAGGUGGUGAUUCAAGCGAAUAGUGAAAUCUUGUGGCUCAACCAUGAGGCUAUUAUUCGAACUGGAUUACUUGAGAGCAGGAGAGGUAGAUGGAAUUUCUGAUGUAGGGGUAAUAUCCGUAGAUAUCAGAAGGAACACCAAUGGCGUAGGCAGUCUACUGGCCUGUUUCUGACACUGAGGCACGAAAGCGUGGGGAGCGAACCGG